UUUUCAAGCUCUAUGGCAAUUACAAACUAUGAAAAAAAUACCCUUUCUUGGGGUGUAGGGCUAUUAUUCAAGCAUCUCGCCUCAUUAUAGGAGCUGGAACUUACAUAGCACUGCACAGAAAUGGAAUAAACAAGGGGUGAGUUGUCGUAAACCAAUAAUGACUCCUGGCUUUGUGUUUUUCCAAGAGUCAUCCCACACAAGAUCUUAUUGGAUCUCUACAUGUAUUCGUUUUCUAUUGAUGCUGUAACAAAAUUACUACACGUUUAGAGGCUUAAAAUAACAUUUUUUUCUCUUGCAGUUCUGAAAGUCAGAAGUUCAAAAUGAGUCUUACCCGGCUAAAUCAAGGUGUCAGUGGGGGGAGGGGGGUGUCCCUUGUGAAGGCUCAAGGAAGAAUCUGUUUCUUCCCUCUUCCAACCUGCAGUCCUUGGUCUGUGGCCCCUUCCUGCACCUUCAAGACCAACCACGUAACAUCUUCAGGACCUGCCAACUCAGACCACAGGCCCACAAAGGCAGAGUACUCCAGCCCUUCCAGACACGAGGGCUCCUGCAGCAGUUGGAGGCCUCUCUCAAAUGGAGAAGGUGGUAAGAAAGCUGAUUUGCCCAUAAGUAAAUAGCUGUUGUAAUUAUGGAACAUUAUUCUCAACAGACCAGCAGACGGAAAACAAUUUGCAUAACAGACGCGCUUAUUCAUGGAAAUGUUUGUGAUUUAUCUACCAAAGCAGAUGAAGACCCUAAAAUUAAAAUGUGUAUGCCAGCACCAGGAAGCCAAAUGCUCACUUCCUCCUCUUCUCAGCAAGGUACACAUGCUGCCAACAGGUCAGACUCAGCAUCUUCAGAUCCCUUUACAUUGGGGGGCUCUGGAGAAAGUGCAGAUCUGAGAGAGCGGCACAGGAGGAACGAUGAAGAAAUGUACAAACCGCACAGCGUUUUCCUUUAUGCCGAGAGGUCAGUGCUGCCAAUGCUGGUGGGUACCUGGCAUGAGUCGGCUAUGAAAUGGAAACCUAUCUCCAGAGCCCGUAUUGGAGAGUCAUGGAACAAAUGAAACCUGGCAAAGCGAAGUUAAAUUUCAGAUUUAAGUGGUGAAUGAAGGUGCUGCCCUGCACACCCAGAGAAGCAGCCACUCUACAGUUCAACCAACAGAAAAUCAUCUGUAAGCUGGGAGAACGUGU
Molecule: non-coding RNA, 1169 nt
Organism: Kogia breviceps (pygmy sperm whale)
Lineage: Eukaryota; Metazoa; Chordata; Mammalia; Artiodactyla; Physeteridae
Source: RefSeq, a predicted model, not a curated record